AAUAUUUAGCAAUUGCCCACCUUGUAAAAUGUAUUGAGAUAAACCAUUUUAAUCUAGCAGUCUUUGAAGGCACAGUGAUUACUGCCAUUUUACAGAUAAAGGAACCAAAGCUUGAAGAGUUUAAAUAAGCAAUGAAUUCGUUAAUUUCACAUUGAUUUUGGCUGAAUUCUUUUAAGAGGUAGUUUUAGACCCUGAGCUUAAAUUUGUCAGCACAUUUAGUAUUGAAUACUUUCACGUUGAAUUUUUAUAAAUCACAUGAAAUCUCGCUAACGUUUUUGAGCAAAUCAUCUCAGAUUCCUACUCUGGCCCAUGAAUACAGCCAGUUCUGUUUUGUUGUUGAAUGUCACCGUGUUACCCGGGGUGUAGGAGAAAAAUUCUUGACUGGCUAGAGUGGGUGCUUCGUCUCAUCUUCACCCCUUUCUCCGAGUGGGGAUGAAACCUUGGUUUGUCUGACCCAUGUGCUAAACUACUCUGCUCUCCUGCAUUCUAGUUUCUGUAAGAAUUCUUAUCAGUGGGCCGGGCGCGGUGGCUCACGCCUGUAAUUCCAGCUCUUUGGGAGGCCCAGGUGGGCGAAUCACGAGGUCAGGAGAUCCAGACUGUCCUGACUAACACGGUGAAACCCCGUCUCUACUAAAAAUACAAAAAACUAGCCGGGCGUGGUGGCGGUGCCUGUAGUCCCAGCUACUCGGGAGGCUGAGGCAGGAGAAUGGCGGGAACCCGGGAGGCGGAGCUUGCAGUGAGCCGAGAUGGCGCCGCUCACUCCAGCCUGGGCGACAGAGAGAGACUCCGUCUCCCCCCACAACAAAGCAGAAUUUAGAUCAGUGUGCCAAUUACAAGUAAAGCCCCUCGGGAAGCUGGGUGAUGCCAUGCAUUAUAGAUCUACGAAUUCCAGCGCACGUACAUCAUGUGUUGACCGCGGCAUUUCAGUUCCUGAUGGAAGAGCUUACCGAUAACAUACGGUGUUUUUAUCCCACCGUUUGGGGCCAUGUGCUGGGCCUACAGGAAACCUGGAAAAAAAGGAAAUUAGAAAACAAAGCAAAAAAAAAAAUCAAUAUCCGUUCACCUCUUUGCUCACAGUCAGUAUCACGAAUCAGUUGCUAGGUAGCUUUGCAUUUUGGCAACUGGGUUCAUUUCACCAUCGACACAAAUGGUUUGUUGGAGGAAGCUGCGGCUGAGUUUCCGGUCUGUCAGGCGACUCCGCCAUUGCUCAGUUCGAAUCAAAGGAGGGGAGGAUGUCUCCUCUCCUCUGAAUGUUCUCAAGUUACAAAAACAAAUGUUUAAAAGAAAAAAAGAAGACCGGGGGUCCAGAUGGGGGACACGUUUUUCCUCAUUGCACUUGCAUGUGAGAACUUAGGUAUCACAAGAAUAAACAAAAUGUCUCAGGAAAACAUGGCAACAGGCUGACCCAUUUUAAAAGGGCCGAUGCAUUUCAGGUCCACAGUAAGUUGAGCAGGCCAGUGCCGUGAGAGAGUCCUGUGAGAAAAGACUAGAUGGAAUUCUUUAUAAAAGCACGAGAAAAUAUUCUGACCACUUUUAGUAGAUUCAUGUAUGUGCCAUUACUUAGAAGAUUUGUUUUCUAAAAAACAAGUGAAUUAGAUUUCCAAAUCACCCUUAGCAGGUAUAUGUGGACCUGGCAUACUAGAUAGGCUUUAGGGCAUUAGGUGUGCUAAGCACCCUGAGUUUAAAAAAAAAAAAAAAAA
Molecule: long non-coding RNA, 1700 nt
Filed under: Macaca fascicularis (crab-eating macaque)
Lineage: Eukaryota; Metazoa; Chordata; Mammalia; Primates; Cercopithecidae
Description: lncRNA (ENSMFAG00000055902.1)
Source: RNAcentral